RNAcentral lists this non-coding RNA (215 nucleotides) under Halalkalibacter okhensis. RNAcentral describes it as "Bacillus okhensis T-box sequence". It matches the Rfam family "T-box leader". From Rfam's summary of the family: Uncharged tRNA acts as the effector for transcription antitermination of genes in the T-box leader family. T-boxes are found upstream of many aminoacyl-tRNA synthetase genes and some amino acid biosynthetic genes usually in Gram-positive bacteria. The anticodon of a specific tRNA base pairs to a specifier sequence within the T-box motif, and the NCCA acceptor tail of the tRNA base pairs to a conserved bulge in the T-box antiterminator hairpin. The record is from RNAcentral. Lineage: Bacteria; Bacillati; Bacillota; Bacilli; Caryophanales; Bacillaceae.
AAAAAGACAAUGAUAGGGAAGAGUACAAUGUUUUAAACGUGCUUAGCGAUUCAGGGAUGGUGAGAGCCUGAAGACGUUCACAUUGGAAAAUCACCCUGGAGUUUUGCACUGAAAAGAGUAGGAUGCAACGAGUGAUUCCCGUUACGAAUGAAUGAGUGGAAAGUUGCUUAACUUUCUAACAGGGUGGUACCACGGGUUAACUUCUCGUCCCUUUU